GACGAACGCUGGCGGCGUGCCUAAUACAUGCAAGUCGAACGCAUUUUCUUUCACCGUAGCUUGCUACACCGAAAGAAAAUGAGUGGCGAACGGGUGAGUAACACGUGGGUAACCUGCCCAUCAGCGGGGGAUAACACUUGGAAACAGGUGCUAAUACCGCAUAAUUCCAUUUACCGCAUGGUAGAUGGGUGAAAGGCGCUUUUGCGUCACUGAUGGAUGGACCCGCGGUGCAUUAGCUGGUUGGUGGGGUAACGGCCUACCAAGGCUGCGAUGCAUAGCCGACCUGAGAGGGUGAUCGGCCACACUGGGACUGAGACACGGCCCAGACUCCUACGGGAGGCAGCAGUAGGGAAUCUUCGGCAAUGGACGCAAGUCUGACCGAGCAACGCCGCGUGAGUGAAGAAGGGUGUCGGAUCGUAAAACUCUGUUGUUAGAGAAGAACAAGGAUGAGAGUGGAAAGUUCAUCCCUUGACGGUAUCUAACCAGAAAGCCACGGCUAACUACGUG
Molecule: ribosomal RNA, 507 nt
Filed under: uncultured bacterium
Lineage: Bacteria
Description: partial 16S ribosomal RNA
Rfam family: Bacterial small subunit ribosomal RNA
Source: RNAcentral